AGCAGCCGCGGUAAUUCCAGCUCCAAUAGCGUAUAUUAAAGUUGUUGCAGUUAAAAAGCUCGUAGUUGAAUUUCGGGGUUAGUAGGUUGGUCAUGCCUCUGGUAUGUACUGGUCUCACUGAUUCCUCCUUCCUGAUGAGCCGUAAUGCCAUUAAUUUGGUGUUGCGGGGAAUUUGGACUGUUACUUUGAAAAAUUGAGUGUUUAAAGCAAGCUAACGCUUGAAUACAUUAGCAUGGAAUAAUGAAAUAGGACGUUCGAUCCUAUUUUGUUGGUUUCUAGGAUUGACGUAAUGAUUAAUAGGGAUAGUUGGGGGCAUUAGUAUUCAAUUGUCAGAGGUGAAAUUCUUGGAUUUAUUGAAGACUAACUACUGCGAAAGCAUUUGCCAAGGAUGUUUUCAUUAAUCAAGAACGAAAGUUAGGGGAUCGAAGACGAUCAGAUACCGUCGUAGUCUUAACCAUAACUAUGCCGACUAGGGAUCGGAUGAUGUAAUUUUUAAUGACUCAUUCGGCGCCUUAAC
This 517-nucleotide unclassified non-coding RNA is filed under the name uncultured Glomus. RNAcentral's name for it is "SSU rRNA". It matches the Rfam family "Eukaryotic small subunit ribosomal RNA", at positions 569 to 1092 of the family's 1831-position model. The record is from RNAcentral. Lineage: Eukaryota; Fungi; Glomeromycota; Glomeromycetes; Glomerales; Glomeraceae.